Molecule: ribosomal RNA, 460 nt
Filed under: uncultured bacterium
Lineage: Bacteria
Description: partial 16S ribosomal RNA
Rfam family: Bacterial small subunit ribosomal RNA
Source: RNAcentral
CCUACGGGUGGCAGCAGUGAGGAAUAUUGGUCAAUGGACGAGAGUCUGAACCAGCCAAGUAGCGUGAAGGAUGACUGCCCUAUGGGUUGUAAACUUCUUUUAUAUGGGAAGAAAACGUUCCACGUGUGGGAUUUUGUAUGUACCAUAUGAAUAAGGAUCGGCUAACUCCGUGCCAGCAGCCGCGGUAAUACGGAGGAUCCGAGCGUUAUCCGGAUUUAUUGGGGUUAAAGGGAGCGUAGGUGGUUUGUUAAGUCAGUUGUGAAAGUUUGCGGCUCAACCGUAAAAUUGCAGUUGAAACUGGCAGUCUUGAGUACAGUAGAGGUGGGCGGAAUUCGUGGUGUAGCGGUGAAAUGCUUAGCUAUCACGAAGAACUCCGAUUGCGAAGGCAGUUCACUGGACUGCAACUGACACUGCGGCUCGAACGUGUGGGUAUCAAACAGGAUUAGAUACCCGGGUAGUC